RNAcentral lists this ribosomal RNA (253 nucleotides) under uncultured bacterium. Its description in RNAcentral is "partial 16S ribosomal RNA". It matches the Rfam family "Bacterial small subunit ribosomal RNA", at positions 524 to 776 of the family's 1533-position model. The record is from RNAcentral.
UACGGGGGGGGCAAGCGUUGUUCGGAAUUACUGGGCGUAAAGGGCUCGUAGGCGGCCAACUAAGUCCGACGUGAAAUCCCAAGGCUUAACCUUGGAACUGCGUCGGAUACUGGAUGGCUUGAAUUCGGGAGAGGGAUGCAGAAUUCCAGGUGUAGCGGUGAAAUGCGUAGAUAUCUGGAGGAAUACCGGUGGCGAAGGCGGCAUCCUGGACCGACAUUGACGCUGAGGCGCGAAAGCCAGGGGAGCAAACGGG